UGGGGGAUAUUGCACAAUGGAGGAAACUCUGAUGCAGCGACGCCGCGUGAGUGAAGAAGUAUUUCGGUAUGUAAAGCUCUAUCAGCAGGGAAGAAAAUGACGGUACCUGACUAAGAAGCCCCGGCUAACUACGUGCCAGCAGCCGCGGUAAUACGUAGGGGGCAAGCGUUAUCCGGAUUUACUGGGUGUAAAGGGAGCGUAGACGGCGAUGCAAGUCUGAAGUGAAAUGCCCGGGCUCAACCUGGGAACUGCUUUGGAAACUGUAUGGCUAGAGUGCUGGAGAGGUAAGCGGAAUUCCUAGUGUAGCGGUGAAAUGCGUAGAUAUUAGGAAGAACACCAGUGGCGAAGGCGGCUUACUGGACAGUAACUGACGUUCAGGCUCGAAAGCGUGGGGAGCAAACAGGAUUAGAUACCCUGGUAGU
RNAcentral lists this ribosomal RNA (422 nucleotides) under uncultured Lachnospiraceae bacterium. Its description in RNAcentral is "bacterial SSU rRNA". It matches the Rfam family "Bacterial small subunit ribosomal RNA", at positions 355 to 794 of the family's 1533-position model. The record is from RNAcentral. Lineage: Bacteria; Bacillati; Bacillota; Clostridia; Lachnospirales; Lachnospiraceae.